CCUACGGGGUGCAGCAGUGAGGAAUAUUGGUCAAUGGACGAGAGUCUGAACCAGCCAAGUAGCGUGAAGGAUGACUGCCCUAUGGGUUGUAAACUUCUUUUAUAUGGGAAUAAAACGUUCCACGUGUGGGAUUUUGUAUGUACCAUAUGAAUAAGGAUCGGCUAACUCCGUGCCAGCAGCCGCGGUAAUACGGAGGAUCCGAGCGUUAUCCGGAUUUAUUGGGGUUAAAGGGAGCGUAGGUGGAUUGUUAAGUCAGUUGUGAAAGUUUGCGGCUCAACCGUAAAAUUGCAGUUGAAACUGGCAGUCUUGAGUACAGUAGAGGUGGGCGGAAUUCGUGGUGUAGCGGUGAAAUGCUUAGAUAUCACGAAGAACUCCGAUUGCGAAGGCAGUUCACUGGACUGCAACUGACACUGAGGCUCGAAAGUGUGGGUAUCAAACAGGAUUAGAUACCCGGGUAGUC
Molecule: ribosomal RNA, 460 nt
Filed under: uncultured bacterium
Lineage: Bacteria
Description: partial 16S ribosomal RNA
Rfam family: Bacterial small subunit ribosomal RNA
Source: RNAcentral